Molecule: ribosomal RNA, 305 nt
Filed under: uncultured bacterium
Lineage: Bacteria
Description: bacterial SSU rRNA
Rfam family: Bacterial small subunit ribosomal RNA
Source: RNAcentral
CCUCGGGGCGCAGCAGUAGGGAAUUUUCGUCAAUGGGCGCAAGCCUGAACGAGCAAUGCCGCGUGAACGAGGAAGGUCUUCGGGUCGUAAAGUUCUGUUGAAGGGGAAAAAGAGCGGAGAGAGGAAAUGGUCUCCGAUUGAUAUUACCCUUCGAGGAAGUCACGGCUAACUACGUGCCAGCAGCCGCGGUAAUACGUAGGUGGCGAGCGUUAUCCGGAAUGAUUGGGCGUAAAGGGUGCGUAGGCGGCCUGCUAAGUCUGGAGUGAAAGGUACCGGCUCAACCGGUAUAGGCUCUGGAAACUGGG